Molecule: long non-coding RNA, 286 nt
Organism: Anguilla rostrata (American eel)
Lineage: Eukaryota; Metazoa; Chordata; Actinopteri; Anguilliformes; Anguillidae
Exons: 2
Source: RefSeq, a predicted model, not a curated record
CCUGUCUAAUAAUCCAGGAGGCCAGAAAAAAUAGCUCCUGAUUUCUAAAACUACAGGAAUGAAGCCACCAUUUAACCAUUCCCCUUCUAAAACUCAAUGUCCCUGGAGAUAAUGCCACCCGUACUCCCAGAAGUAAACACAAGAUAAAUAUCUAGGAAGAGCUGCAUGGAUCCACUGGGAAUUUGUUGUUUGUUCUACUAGUUUCCAUUUUCAGAUUUUUUGGCUGUUGGAUUUUUUGCUUUUCUCAAAGUGACACAGAAAGAAAUAAACACAGUUUCAAACAUUG